AAUGCCUGGGAAAUUGCCCUGAUGUGGGGGAUCAUCUCUUUGAAAAACGAUGGCUAAUACCGCAUGAUAGCUUCGGCUCAAAGAGGGGGACCUUCGGGCCUCUCGCGUCAGGAUAUGCCCAGGUGGGAUUAGCUAGUUGGUGACGAUAUGGGCUCACCAAGGCGACGAUCCCUAGCUGGUCUGAGAGGAUGAUCAGCCACACUGGAACUGAGACACGGUCCAGACUCCUACGGGAGGCAGCAGUGGGGAAUAUUGCACAAUGGGCGCAAGCCUGAUGCAGCCAUGCCGCUUUUUUUUUUAUAUUGCCUUCGGGUUGUAAAGCACUUUCAGUAGGGAGGAAGGUGGUGUUGUUAAUAGCAGCAUCAUUUGACGUUACCUACAGAAAUUAGCACCGGCUAACUCCGUGCCAGCAGCCGCGGUAAUACGGAGGGUGCGAGCGUUAAUCGGAAUUACUGGGCGUAAAGCGCAUGCAGGUGGUUUUGUUAAGUCAGAUGUGAAAGCCCGGGGGCUCAACCUCGGAAAUAGCAUUU
RNAcentral lists this ribosomal RNA (530 nucleotides) under Vibrio diazotrophicus. RNAcentral's name for it is "bacterial SSU rRNA". It matches the Rfam family "Bacterial small subunit ribosomal RNA", at positions 112 to 628 of the family's 1533-position model. The record is from RNAcentral. Lineage: Bacteria; Pseudomonadati; Pseudomonadota; Gammaproteobacteria; Vibrionales; Vibrionaceae.